RNAcentral lists this ribosomal RNA (189 nucleotides) under uncultured Methanolobus sp. RNAcentral describes it as "partial 16S ribosomal RNA". It matches the Rfam family "Archaeal small subunit ribosomal RNA", at positions 131 to 319 of the family's 1478-position model. The record is from RNAcentral. Lineage: Archaea; Methanobacteriati; Methanobacteriota; Methanomicrobia; Methanosarcinales; Methanosarcinaceae.
CCCGGGAAACUGGGGAUAAUACCGGAUAGACCAUAGAUACUGGAAUGUUCUGUGGUAAAAGAGUUCGGGCGCCUUAGGAUGGAUCUGCGGCCUAUCAGGUAGUAGUGGGUGUAAAGUACGUACUAGCCGACGACGGGUACGGGUUGUGAGAGCAAGAGCCCGGAGAUGGAUUCUGAGACAUGAAUCCAG